Molecule: unclassified non-coding RNA, 1667 nt
Filed under: Neodiprion pinetum (white pine sawfly)
Lineage: Eukaryota; Metazoa; Arthropoda; Insecta; Hymenoptera; Diprionidae
Description: skin secretory protein xP2, transcript variant X1
Source: RNAcentral
UAUAAACGGCGAGUUGGUAGCUGCUGUGGUUCAGUUUAGUGGUGAAGCACCACUCUGCAGCAGGCAAAACUUGCGAGAUGAAAAUCCAGGUUUUAACGGCCCUGGUGGCGUUGGCCGCGUUGGCUCGGUGCUCUGAUGAGUCAAUUAAGGAAACAUCGGAGGCUGAAAAAAGGUCCGUAAAGUCGGAAGAGAGCGCCGCGGAGGGUUCGGGGAGUGAUAAAAAGACGGAGAAACGCGGUCUGCACGGUAGCUACGGAAGCUACGGAGGCGGCGGCUACGGCGACUUCGGGGGCGGUGGCGGCGGCGGUGGAGGUGGCGGUUACUUGCCGGGAGGGAACGGCUACGACCACCAGGAGCACGUCAAGACGAUAACGGUGGUGAAGAAGGUACACGUGCCCUACGAGGUGGCGAAGCACGUGCCCUACACGGUGGAGAAGCACGUACCGUACGAGGUGAAGGUCGGAGUGCCGCAGCCCUACACCGUCGAGAAGCACGUACCGUACCCGGUGAAGGUGUUCGUCAAGGUGCCGGUUCACGUGCCGCAGCCCUACACGGUAGAGAAGAAGAUCCCCUACGAGGUCAAGGUCCCCGUCGACAAACCCUACGAGGUCAAGGUCUACGUCCCGCAGCCCUACACCGUCGAGAAGCACGUCCCCGUGCCCGUUAAGGUCGGCGUUCCCCAGCCGUACACCGUUGAGAAGCGAGUUCCCUACCCGGUAAAGGUCAAGAUCCCGGUACCGCAGCCCUAUCCGGUCGAGAAGCCCGUGCCCUACGAAGUCAAGGUCCCGGUCGACAGGCCCUACCACGUCCACGUGCCCAAGCCCUACCCCGUGACGGUGGAGAAGCCCUAUCCGGUCGCCGUCGACAAGCCCGUGCCCUACGAGGUUAAGGUCCCCGUCGACAGGCCCUACCACGUCCACGUACCCAAGCCCUAUCCCGUCCACGUCAAGGUCCCAGUGCCUCAGCCCUACCACGUCACAAAGCACGUUCCGUACACCGUGGAGAAGCCCUAUCCCGUGCACGUCAAGGUCCCCGUCGACAGGCCCUACGUCGUUGAGAAGGAGGUGCCCUAUCCCGUCGAGAAGGAGGUCCCCGUGCCCGUCAAGGUCCCGGUUCACGUUCCCGUUCACGUGAAGCAUCAUCACGAGGAACACUCCCACGGUUCCCAAGGAUUCGGGGGCGGCGAUUACUCGGCCUCGUCUUACGGUGGCGGGCACGCCGACGGCGCCGAGGAUUACGGCAGCUACGACAGCUCUUCGUACUCCCAUCACUGAUUCGCGAAUUAUCGAAUAAUGAGAAGAUACUUCCGAGGCUACAACGUCGUGAUUUGACUUGAUCUUUAUUUUUUCUCACUAUUUUUCACACCGUCUUAUACCAUAUAUAUAUAUAUAUUUCCAAUUUUUGCCGUAUGAUUCGAUUCGUGUAACGUCUGUACUUUCGGUUAUCUUGGCGAUAUGUGAUUACUUUUUUUUUUUUUACCAUAUUUUUUUAAAAUUUUCCUCUCCCCGUGUACGUACGGCAGAUUUCUCAGAGGCAUCGCGACGAACUGAAACUAUCACGAGUACCUUAUAGUAUGUAAUAUACAUUUUAUGUAUACAUGAUAUUAUAUAGAUAAGACGAGGAUUACCUGCAUGAUAUAAGAGAAAUGCUUCUUGUCGGGAAAGAGU